GGCGAACGGGUGAGUAACACGUGAGUAACCUGCCCUUGACUUUGGGAUAACUUCAGGAAACUGGGGCUAAUACCGGAUAGGAGCUCCUGCUGCAUGGUGGGGCUUGGAAAGUUUCGGCGGUUGGGGAUGGACUCGCGGCUUAUCAGCUUGUUGGUGGGGUAGUGGCUUACCAAGGCUUUGACGGGUAGCCGGCCUGAGAGGGUGACCGGCCACAUUGGGACUGAGAUACGGCCCAG
Molecule: ribosomal RNA, 236 nt
Filed under: uncultured Actinomycetales bacterium
Lineage: Bacteria; Bacillati; Actinomycetota; Actinomycetes; Actinomycetales
Description: partial 16S ribosomal RNA
Rfam family: Bacterial small subunit ribosomal RNA
Source: RNAcentral